Molecule: ribosomal RNA, 94 nt
Filed under: Acinetobacter baumannii
Lineage: Bacteria; Pseudomonadati; Pseudomonadota; Gammaproteobacteria; Moraxellales; Moraxellaceae
Source: RNAcentral
AACCACCUGAUCCCUUCCCGAACUCAGAAGUGAAACCUCUUAGCGCUGAUGGUAGUGUGGGGUUACCCAUGUGAGAGUAAGUCAUCGCCAGCUC